Molecule: long non-coding RNA, 640 nt
Filed under: Ananas comosus (pineapple)
Lineage: Eukaryota; Viridiplantae; Streptophyta; Magnoliopsida; Poales; Bromeliaceae
Description: long non-coding RNA (ACOM_LNC000673)
Source: RNAcentral
AAUACUUUAUGGUUCAGUGACUUUAAUUCAUGUUGAAUAUAGAUGUUUUUGUGAGGUUAAAUAACGUUGUUUUGUUAUUAUCAUAUGAUUUGUGAAAUUAGUUUUCUAUCUCUCGUGGUAGCGCUUUAUCGAACAGGUUUUCGAGUAGAAAAUGAUUUUUAAAAGGUUUUAUUGUGAAAAUGUAAAUAUAUGUUGUGUUGUGAAUGAUUGUGGUUGUACUUGUACUCGUGCGACGCCGUGUAAAUAUAAGGGAGGCCUUGUCCGUGUGAUCAGUGAGUUUCCUAUAUUUGUGGCAUGUUUGUUAUACCUUGGGUCAAGGUUUUCAAAAAAAAAAAAGGUUUCGGCAUGUUUUCGCUGUCUAACCUCAAAAAGGGGACCCCGAGGCAUGGCAAGGAAAUGAUAAAAAAAUUGAUGAAGAGAGGAAGAAAGAAUAAAUAGAAAAGACAAAAAGAGAAAACCAAUAGAGAAAAGCAGAAGACGAAAAGGAAAAAAAAAGAAGGAAGAAGAGAAAAGAGUGAGAGGAGAAGAACAUAAAAGAAAAGAAGAAGAAGAAGAACAGAAGAGAGAGAGAAAGGAAGGAAGAGGAAUAUAGAAAGAAAAGAGAGGAGUUUAGAGUAAUAGAAGAAGUAGAUGUAGACUU